This 717-nucleotide ribosomal RNA is filed under the name uncultured Enterococcus sp. RNAcentral's name for it is "bacterial SSU rRNA". It matches the Rfam family "Bacterial small subunit ribosomal RNA", at positions 14 to 720 of the family's 1533-position model. Lineage: Bacteria; Bacillati; Bacillota; Bacilli; Lactobacillales; Enterococcaceae. The record is from RNAcentral.
UGAUCCUGGCUCAGGACGAACGCUGGCGGCGUGCCUAAUACAUGCAAGUCGAACGCUUCUUUUCUACCGAGUGCUUGCACUCACUUGAAAAGAGGAGUGGCGGACGGGUGAGUAACACGUGGGUAACCUGCCCAUCAGAGGGGGAUAACACUUGGAAACAGGUGCUAAUACCGCAUAACAGUCGACACCGCAUGGUGUUGAUUUGAAAGACGCUUUCGGGUGUCACUGAUGGAUGGACCCGCGGUGCAUUAGCUAGUUGGUGAGGUAACGGCUCACCAAGGCCAUGAUGCAUAGCCGACCUGAGAGGGUGAUCGGCCACACUGGGACUGAGACACGGCCCAGACUCCUACGGGAGGCAGCAGUAGGGAAUCUUCGGCAAUGGACGAAAGUCUGACCGAGCAACGCCGCGUGAGUGAAGAAGGUUUUCGGAUCGUAAAACUCUGUUGUUAGAGAAGAACAAGUAGGAGAGUAACUGCUCCUACCUUGACGGUAUCUAACCAGAAAGCCACGGCUAACUACGUGCCAGCAGCCGCGGUAAUACGUAGGUGGCAAGCGUUGUCCGGAUUUAUUGGGCGUAAAGCGAGCGCAGGCGGUUUCUUAAGUCUGAUGUGAAAGCCCCCGGCUUACCGGGAGGUCAUGGAAACUGGGAGACUUGAGUGCAAAAGAAAUGGAAUCCCCUGUAGCGUGAAUGCGUAAUUAUGGAGACCCAUGGCGAAG